CAAUACCGAGCCGUCCCGCCACCGCAGCUACUAUCCUCUUGAGCGUUUGACUAUGAUUCAUCUAGUAACUAAUCUGAUCUUGCAUCAUGCUCAUGGAUGUCCUAAUUGCCUCUGGCAUCGAUGCAUCAUCAGACCGGUCGGAUGACGAACUGUAUGAUUUUUUGGACCGCAUGCUAUGACCAGAUCCUAGCUGCCGCCCGAGGACGGUAUCCAAAAUCAUAUCAUCUGUCAUCAAACAAACCUGCUGCGAUCCAGUAU
Molecule: long non-coding RNA, 258 nt
Filed under: Elaeis guineensis (African oil palm)
Lineage: Eukaryota; Viridiplantae; Streptophyta; Magnoliopsida; Arecales; Arecaceae
Description: long non-coding RNA (EGUI_LNC039687)
Source: RNAcentral